UAUCAUUUUGGAUGAUGAUGGCAAAUGAUUGUUAUUGAUUUCUCCAACCUCAACUUCAGAUUGUUUGCCCUCAGAUGGAAUCUCGGAAGGAACCUCUGUCCGACUCAUUGGUCUUUUGGGACGAACUUGUUCAAGGGCAUGGGCAUCUUCUCCACUGCUUGUUGAUGGUUCUUUAGAAGCAACUGAAAAUUCCAGGUUAUUGCCUACUUCAUGCACAGUGCUCCAAUCACCCUUACCAAAGUUAUCAAGCAUUGUGUCAAAAUAUGUUCCCCCCACC
RNAcentral lists this unclassified non-coding RNA (277 nucleotides) under Hevea brasiliensis (rubber tree). The record is from RNAcentral. Lineage: Eukaryota; Viridiplantae; Streptophyta; Magnoliopsida; Malpighiales; Euphorbiaceae.